This 486-nucleotide ribosomal RNA is filed under the name uncultured bacterium. Its description in RNAcentral is "partial 16S ribosomal RNA". It matches the Rfam family "Bacterial small subunit ribosomal RNA", at positions 28 to 507 of the family's 1533-position model. The record is from RNAcentral.
GAUGAACGCUGGCGGCGUGCCUAAUACAUGCAAGUCGAACGCUGGAGAUCUAGCUUGCUAGCUCGAAGGAGUGGCGAACGGGUGAGUAAUACAUAAGCAACCUACCCACGAAGACUGGGAUAAUCUCUGGAAACGGGGACUAAUACCGGAUAGGUAAUCGGAAGGCAUCUUCUGGUUAUUAAAGGUUAAAAACACUGGUGGAUGGGCUUAUGGCGCAUUAGUUAGUUGGUGAGGUAACGGCCCACCAAGACGAUGAUGCGUAGCCGGCCUGAGAGGGUGAACGGCCACAUUGGGACUGAGACACGGCCCAGACGCCUACGGGAGGCAGCAGUAGGGAAUUUUCGGCAAUGGGGGCAACCCUGACCGAGCAACGCCGCGUGAGUGAAGACGGCCUUCGGGGUGUAAAGCUCUGUUGUAAGGGAAGAACGGUAGAUAGAGAAUAUCUAAGUGACGGUACCUGACCAGAAAGCCACGGCUAACUACGUG